RNAcentral lists this transfer RNA (58 nucleotides) under Afipia sp. RNAcentral describes it as "tRNA-Pro". It matches the Rfam family "tRNA", at positions 8 to 62 of the family's 71-position model. Rfam says of the family: Transfer RNA (tRNA) molecules are approximately 80 nucleotides in length. Their secondary structure includes four short double-helical elements and three loops (D, anti-codon, and T loops). Further hydrogen bonds mediate the characteristic L-shaped molecular structure. tRNAs have two regions of fundamental functional importance: the anti-codon, which is responsible for specific mRNA codon recognition, and the 3' end, to which the tRNAs corresponding amino acid is attached (by aminoacyl-tRNA synthetases). tRNAs cope with the degeneracy of the genetic code in two manners: having more than one tRNA (with a specific anti-codon) for a particular amino acid; and 'wobble' base-pairing, i.e. permitting non-standard base-pairing at the 3rd anti-codon position. Lineage: Bacteria; Pseudomonadati; Pseudomonadota; Alphaproteobacteria; Hyphomicrobiales; Nitrobacteraceae. The record is from RNAcentral.
UGGCUCAGCCCGGUAGAGCACUGCGUUCGGGACGCAGGGGUCGCAGGUUCAAAUCCUG